Molecule: ribosomal RNA, 301 nt
Filed under: uncultured bacterium
Lineage: Bacteria
Description: partial 16S ribosomal RNA
Rfam family: Bacterial small subunit ribosomal RNA
Source: RNAcentral
CAGUAGCCGCGGUAAUACGUAGGUGGCAAGCGUUGUCCGGAAUUAUUGGGCGUAAAGCGCGCGCAGGUGGUUUAAUAAGUCUGAUGUGAAAGCCCACGGCUCAACCGUGGAGGGUCAUUGGAAACUGUUAAACUUGAGUGCAGGAGAGAAAAGUGGAAUUCCUAGUGUAGCGGUGAAAUGCGUAGAGAUUAGGAGGAACACCAGUGGCGAAGGCGACUCUCUGGUCUGUAACUGACGCUGAGGAGCGAAAGCGUGGGAAGCAAACAGGAUUAGAUACCCCCGUAGUCCCUGUCUCUUAUAC